Balaenoptera acutorostrata (minke whale) is the source of this 307-nucleotide long non-coding RNA. RefSeq lists it as uncharacterized. Lineage: Eukaryota; Metazoa; Chordata; Mammalia; Artiodactyla; Balaenopteridae. The transcript has 3 exons. The record is from RefSeq and is a predicted model, not a curated record.
CCUAGAGGAGAUCACAACAAGAGGAUGGAAUCUGGGGCAGAGGGGGAAGAUUAGCUCCUAAGGCUGGAGAGGAGGACAGAUGCCCAUAACCAGACACCUAUUUAUAUCGGAACAAAAGUUGGGACUCUGGGAGAGUUCGACUCUGAAACCUUCUGUUUUUGCUGUAAGGAUAUCUAUCUGGGGCAGCUUGGUCUGCUGUGAGCUGUGGAGAGGGAGACAAAGAGAAAAAAGAUGUGUUGCUGAAUUUUUAAUAACAUCUGUAUAAGUUGCCAAUAAUAAGCAAAUAAUAAAUAUUUAUUGACUUGAA